UGGUGAUAUUUUUUUCUUAUUUCUGUAAUAGAAACCAAUGGCUAAGUAUCAUUAAAUUUUAAAUAAGUCCGUUGUGUCUUUCGUCUUCUGCUGGAGGCACGCCGGAAUAGCAAUGUUUAUGUUGUGCAUUGUGAAUACGGACAACUAAAAAGAUGUUUACUCAUGUGGAUUCCCAUGUGUAUGUGAAAUAAACAAAAGUGUUGUACAACAGACAGCGAGAUAAAGAUGUUGUGCCAAUACCGUGCAACUGUGUGUCUGGCUCCAACUUCGGGACUAAUGGCAAGGAAUGGCAAUUUGUUCGACCGAAUUUCUUGUAAUAUUCUGAAGUCAGGUCAUGACCGCGUUGUAGGACUACGUCGAAACUUCUCGUGUCUUACUGCUGGUGUUUUCCAAAAUGCAUGUGUGAAAGGGAUCAGUCUAAAACCUAAGGGUAACGAGUUUCAUUACUCAUCCCUCGCAACUUCGGAAUGCAGAAAAAAUAAAUAUUUUAUAGAUUCAUUUGACGCAAAGUUAGGAACAACAACAAAAUUAUUCUCAACAGCCACAGUUGUUAACCAGAAGGAAGCACAGAAGAAAAAAGAUAUAAGGAUAGGUCCUGGACUUGAAUACUUCAUAGCAAAUAGUUCAGGGACAACACAGAAUGAAAAAAUCUUUUCCAAAAGAGAUUUAGAAAAGCUUUCCCACCCAUACGUUGAUGUGGCAGAUAUCCAGGGCAAUGGGCGCAAGGUUUACUUUGAUGUUUAUGGCUGCCAGAUGAAUGUAAAUGACACAGAAGUUGCAUGGUCUAUCCUCCAAUCCCAUGGCUACCAACGCACCAAUGUAAUCAGGGAAGCAGAUGUUGUUUUGGUCAUGACCUGCUCUAUUCGAGAAGGGGCUGAGCAAAAGAUAUGGAACAAGCUUGACUACUUGAGAGGCUUGAAGAACAAACGACUCGCAAACAAGAAGGCUGCCCCUAUGAAGAUUGGGAUAUUAGGAUGCAUGGCAGAGAGACUGAAGAAGAAAUUGGUUGAGAAAGAGAAGAGCAUUGAUGUUGUUGUAGGGCCAGACAGCUACCGUGAUCUUCCAAGGCUUCUGGCCAUAGUUGAGAGUGGAGAAACAGCUGUAAAUGUCCUGCUUUCAUUGGAGGAAACUUAUGCAGACAUUGUGCCAGUCAGACUUUCAGAGAACAGACAGUCAGCCUUUGUGUCUAUUAUGAGGGGCUGUGACAACAUGUGCACAUACUGUAUCGUGCCUUUCACAAGAGGACGGGAACGAUCUAGACCGGUGGAGUCCAUUGUAGAAGAAGUGCGUCACCUUUCAGGUGAAGGCGUGAAAGAAGUCACCUUACUUGGACAAAAUGUUAACAGCUAUCGAGACACUUCAGUCAUGCAGCAUGUAGGUUUCUCUAAGGAUGAGAAACAGACAUCUCUUGCCAAAGGCUUCAAAACGGUGUACAAAACCAAGAGAGGGGGUCUACGAUUUGCAGACCUUCUUGAUAAGGUAUCACAGGUUGACCCUGAAAUGAGAAUUAGGUUUACAUCCCCACAUCCAAAGGAUUUUCCAGAUGAGGUCCUAUACCUGAUUCGAGACAGAAAUAAUAUUUGUAACAGUAUUCACCUCCCAGCACAGUGUGGAAGCAGUAGAGUUCUUGAGCUCAUGCGAAGGGGAUAUACAAGAGAGGCAUAUUGCGAAUUGGUGUCACACAUAAGAUCCAUUAUUCCAAGUGUCUCACUGUCCUCAGACUUCAUUUGUGGUUUUUGCUCAGAAACUGAGGAAGAGUUUGAGGAGACCUUGACCUUGCUGCAAUGGGUCAAGUACAACUAUUGCUACCUCUUUCCAUACAGCUUGCGAGAAAAAACUCCUGCUCAGCGUAAACUAGUGGAUGAUAUUUCUCAUGAGGUGAAACUCAACCGCCUACAAAGGAUGGUACAGGUGUUCAGGACUGAAGCCAGCAAAGUCAACAAAGCUCAGAUUGGGCAGCAGCAGCUAGUGCUAGUUGAAGGCAGGAGCAAAAGAUCAAAAAGAGCAUUUGUUGGAAGAAAUGAUGGUAAUACCAGAGUUAUCUUCCCAGACGUAGAAGUGGAAAGUGGCAGUGAACGAGCUACUCGAAGCGUCAAGGAGGGGGACUACGUGUCAGUGGUUAUCACGGACUCUUCAUCUCAGGUUCUCAGGGGUAUUCCCCUGUCUGUUACCUCCCUGCAAGCCUUUGCUAAUGGCCUUUGAAUUUAUCACUUUGUAGAUUCAUGAUUGCAAGACUAUCAAAUGUAUGAAGAAAAGAUGUUCCCAUCACCCCAGCCCAUGACCAUCACCCAGGCCUCGGAAAAAAUAAAAAACAUUAUGACAUGUUGGUCACGUCUACCAGAUCCAGUGGGUUAAGAAUAUAUAAUUAUUUUAUUAUUUUUUAUUGGGAGCAUUUUUUUUUUUUUUUUUUUUUUUUUUUUUUUUUUUGUAAAACUGGUAUAGCUAUAAAAUGCAUUACCCUUAUAACAUUUUUUUAUUUUGUCUAUACAUUACAAAUCAUGAGUAAAAACUUUUGUAUUUCUGAAGACUCAAAACAGCACUGUGAAUCAAUAGUACAAAAUUCCUGAAAAAGAUUUCCAUCUACACGUGCAUUCAACCUCAAGAACACAAAAACUGAAAGCACAGCAAAAACUUGGCUUCAGUGCCUUGCAGUGAAAACUAAAAGGUGUUCAUAAUGCAUGAAAGCCACUAUGAGAAGGUUUCACAACUUGGUAUCUCAGCACUGUAGUAACAACAGCUACCCACAACUGCUCACAAGAGCAGCAAACCAUAACCUGUAUCUGGAGUUUAGCUUUCAUCCUGCCAAUAUCUGGCUCUUCAGGUACAUUUCCCCCUAAUACAGAAUUUCUAAGCUCGGCUGAUCAUUUUUGAAAAACAAAAUAAUUCAACUAGCUCAUGACCACAUACAUACAUAUGUGAGAGCCUUAACAAAAAGUGAUGACAUUUGCAUAAGUAAGACUGACUACUCUUCUUGUGUCCAUAGUUCAAGUAUGGUAAUCCUUUUUUCUUUCCCUUUAUUCUCAGAUCUAAAUUACAGAUUUUUAUCAGCUCAAAAUUAAAUAGAACUCAGUACUACUUCCUCUCUAACACACUAACAGUGCAUUUUAAUCUUGCUCUUUGUUAUUUACAUAAAGACAUUGGUUCUUGUCAAAUGCUGAGGUAGUUUGAAAUUUAAGCAUCACUUUCAAUUCUUGUUUAAUUCUUGCCUCUGUCAGUUGUGCCAUGUCUAUUUUCUUUCCAAAUAACUGAAUCACCUUUUUAAUAUUUUAUGUGCAGAAAUGAGCAUUGCAGUAUUUCAAUUAUGGAUAGGGCUGUUGGGUCAUAUUCUUACUGGUAACAUGUCAUACUCCUAAGUAGCUUAGUACAAGUUCAACUUUGUGCAUCUAAUAAACCUUACCAAAUAUCUGUUACUCAAACUAUUAGUUAUCAUUAUUAUCACUGCAACAUUGCUUGAAAAAAACAUCAUAUGAAGAAGAAAAGAAGUCAAAUAU
Molecule: unclassified non-coding RNA, 3491 nt
Filed under: Penaeus chinensis
Lineage: Eukaryota; Metazoa; Arthropoda; Malacostraca; Decapoda; Penaeidae
Description: mitochondrial tRNA methylthiotransferase CDK5RAP1- like, transcript variant X2
Source: RNAcentral